GAAGAGAAAGAAAGGACUGGCUGGGUUGUAGGCAGCAGGGCCAAUCAGCUGAGGGCUAAGUGCACAGCAGGUCCUAGCAAAUGCUUCUGGAAUUGAAUUGGUCCAAGGGGAGACUCCAACUUUAGUUCAACAUGGGCUGUAUCCGAAUCCUUCUGACAUUUGCUGGGAUUCCAUGAGGGAGUCAGGUACACCAAACCGCUCACCUUUGCUGACUGCAUUAGUGAUGAGUUGCCGCUAGGAUGGGAAGAGGCAUAUGACCCACAGGUUGGAGAUUACUUCAUAGACCACAACACCAAAACCACUCAGAUUGAGGAUCCUCGAGUACAAUGGCGGCGGGAGCAGGAACAUAUGCUGAAGGAUUACCUGGUGGUGGCCCAGGAGGCUCUGAGUGCACAAAAGGAGAUCUACCAGGUGAAGCAGCAGCGCCUGGAGCUUGCGCAGCAGGAGUACCAGCAACUGCAUGCCGUCUGGGAGCACAAGCUGGGCUCCCAGGUCAGCUUGGUCUCUGGUUCAUCAUCCAGCUCUAAGUAUGACCCUGAGAUCCUGAAAGCUGAAAUUGCCA
This 562-nucleotide small RNA is filed under the name Pongo abelii (Sumatran orangutan). RNAcentral's name for it is "processed transcript". Lineage: Eukaryota; Metazoa; Chordata; Mammalia; Primates; Hominidae. The record is from RNAcentral.